AUACGUAGGUGGCAAGCGUUGUCCGGAUUUAUUGGGCGUAAAGCGAGCGCAGGCGGUUUCUUAAGUCUGAUGUGAAAGCCCCCGGCUCAACCGGGGAGGGUCAUUGGAAACUGGGAAACUUGAGUGCAGAAGAGGAGAGUGGAAUUCCAUGUGUAGCGGUGAAAUGCGUAGAUAUAUGGAGGAACACCAGUGGCGAAGGCGGCUCUCUGGUCUGUAACUGACGCUGAGGCUCGAAAGCGUGGGGAGCAAACAGGAUUAGAUACCCUGGUAGUCCACGCCGUAAACGAUGAGUGCUAAGUGUUGGAGGGUUUCCGCCUUUCAGUGCUGCAGCUAACGCAUUAAGCACUCCGCCUGGGGAGUACGACCGCAAGGUUGAA
This 377-nucleotide ribosomal RNA is filed under the name uncultured Enterococcus sp. RNAcentral's name for it is "bacterial SSU rRNA". It matches the Rfam family "Bacterial small subunit ribosomal RNA", at positions 523 to 898 of the family's 1533-position model. Lineage: Bacteria; Bacillati; Bacillota; Bacilli; Lactobacillales; Enterococcaceae. The record is from RNAcentral.